Molecule: long non-coding RNA, 712 nt
Organism: Carassius gibelio (silver crucian carp)
Lineage: Eukaryota; Metazoa; Chordata; Actinopteri; Cypriniformes; Cyprinidae
Exons: 3
Source: RefSeq, a predicted model, not a curated record
AAACGGAGCGCAACACUGCAAAUGUCACGAGGAAACACCCCGUUUCUCGCUGAUUUCACUGUUUUCAGGAAUGGUUUAAUGUCUUCGAAAAAGUCCGUUAGCGUUUCUACCGUUUUCAGACGACGUAUCGUCAGAAGGGAGUGUCCAAGAUUUCAAUAUUUCUGAAGGGAGCUGCUGACAGAGAUGUAGGAAGCGCUGAAAAGGUUAAGUAACCUAAUAUGCAUUUUUUUCACAACAUAUAUCGCAAUUAAUCUGUUAUUUUAUUUAUUUAUUUUUUGCAUCUCACCUGCUCUAGCUUGUUUCCAUCUAAUAAACCUGGAACUGCAGACUAAAUAUUGUUGGCUCUGUGUCAAAUUGCUUGUUUUGUUCCUAGAUUCUUCAGUGCUGAUGGCCUGGAGUGAACCUACUGUAAGACAACAUCUCCAAGAUGCUAUUGACCACAAGACUAGUACAGUAAGUCAAACCUCAAAUAUACAGUACACUAGUGUUCAAAAGCUUGAAGUUGAUACAAUUUGUAAUAAUUAUCUUCUGCUCACCUCUGUAGUAAUUAUUUGAUUAAAAUAUGUAAAAAGAGUAAUAUUGUGAAAUAUUAUUACAAUUUAAAAUAGCUGUUUUCUAUGUGAAUACAUUAUAAACUAAUUUAUUCCUGUGAUGUGCAGCUGUAUUUUCAGCAUCAUUCCUCCAGUCUUCAGUGUCACAUGGAUCCCUCAGA